This 76-nucleotide transfer RNA is filed under the name Rickettsia typhi str. Wilmington. RNAcentral's name for it is "tRNA-Val (TAC) (tRNA-Val-TAC-1-1)". It matches the Rfam family "tRNA". Rfam says of the family: Transfer RNA (tRNA) molecules are approximately 80 nucleotides in length. Their secondary structure includes four short double-helical elements and three loops (D, anti-codon, and T loops). Lineage: Bacteria; Pseudomonadati; Pseudomonadota; Alphaproteobacteria; Rickettsiales; Rickettsiaceae. The record is from RNAcentral. RNAcentral also lists the same sequence under 2 other names.
GGGCGAUUAGCUCAGUUGGUAGAGUAUCUCGUUUACACCGAGAAUGUCGGCGGUUCAAGUCCGUCAUCGCCCACCA